Molecule: ribosomal RNA, 465 nt
Filed under: Vreelandella stevensii
Lineage: Bacteria; Pseudomonadati; Pseudomonadota; Gammaproteobacteria; Oceanospirillales; Halomonadaceae
Description: partial 16S ribosomal RNA
Rfam family: Bacterial small subunit ribosomal RNA
Source: RNAcentral
CCUACGGGGGGCUGCAGUGGGGAAUAUUGGACAAUGGGGGGAACCCUGAUCCAGCCAUGCCGCGUGUGUGAAGAAGGCCCUCGGGUUGUAAAGCACUUUCAGUGAGGAAGAACGCCUGGUGGUUAAUACCCAUCAGGAAAGACAUCACUCACAGAAGAAGCACCGGCUAACUCCGUGCCAGCAGCCGCGGUAAUACGGAGGGUGCGAGCGUUAAUCGGAAUUACUGGGCGUAAAGCGCGCGUAGGUGGCUUGAUAAGCCGGUUGUGAAAGCCCCGGGCUCAACCUGGGAACGGCAUCCGGAACUGUCAAGCUAGAGUGCAGGAGAGGAAGGUAGAAUUCCCGGUGUAGCGGUGAAAUGCGUAGAGAUCGGGAGGGAUACCAGUGGCGAAGGCGGCCUUCUGGACUGACACUGACACUGAGGUGCGAAAGCGUGGGUAGCAAACAGGAUUAGAUACCCCUGUAGUC